UACGUAGGGUGCGAGCGUUAAUCGGAAUUACUGGGCGUAAAGCGUGCGCAGGCGGUUCGUUAAGUUCGAUGUGAAAGCCCCGGGCUCAACCUGGGAACUGCAUUGGAAACUGGCGGGCUUGAGUAUGGCAGAGGGGGGUGGAAUUCCGCGUGUAGCAGUGAAAUGCGUAGAGAUGCGGAGGAACACCGAUGGCGAAGGCAGCCCCCUGGGCCAAUACUGACGCUCAGGCACGAAAGCGUGGGGAGCAAACAGG
This 253-nucleotide ribosomal RNA is filed under the name uncultured bacterium. RNAcentral's name for it is "partial 16S ribosomal RNA". It matches the Rfam family "Bacterial small subunit ribosomal RNA", at positions 524 to 776 of the family's 1533-position model. The record is from RNAcentral.